RNAcentral lists this ribosomal RNA (433 nucleotides) under uncultured bacterium. RNAcentral describes it as "partial 16S ribosomal RNA". It matches the Rfam family "Bacterial small subunit ribosomal RNA", at positions 29 to 507 of the family's 1533-position model. The record is from RNAcentral.
AACGAACGCUGGCGGCAUGCCUAACACAUGCAAGUCGAACGAAACGUCCCGGCUUUUGUGCGCUCGUCGGCGUACGGCGUGGGAACCUGCACUUGAGUUCCCAAUACCUCCCCGAAAGGGAUCCUAAUACCACAUAGUCUCUUAGCACCAAAGAUCUAUUGCCUUUGGAUGGGCGCGCGUUGGAUUCGCUGGUUGGUAGGGUAAUAGCAUAUCAAGGCCUGGAUGCAUAGCUGGUUUGAGAGGAUGAUCAGCCACACUGGGACUGAGACACGGCCCAGAAUCCUACGGAAGGCAGCAGUGGGGAAUAUUGGACAAUGGGCGAAAGCCUGAUACAGCAAUGCCGCGUGAGUGAUGAAGGCCUUAGGGUUGUAAAGCUCUUUUACCCGGGAUGAUAAUGACGGUACCGGGAGAAUAAGCUCCGGCUAACUCCGUG